CCAUGGAUGUUAUGGUUGGUUAAACAAGUUAAUUAUUCUGAUUCUCUGCGACGCUUUAAUCCAUAAACGCAUAUUUUAUUUGUGAAAAAAAAAGAAAAAAAAAACUUUUUCUCAAGUGAUUCCGAUAGUGCCACGAAGAAUAAUACACUCAAGUAGUUUUUAGUUCUAAGAGCUCUUAACGCAAAAGACGUUUGCUUAUUGAUUACUUUUUGCAUAAAAACAUAAGAGCACAGAGUUAGGCUUUUUCGAGGGAUCAGCCGAAUUAAGUCGACUAGUAUACUUCGAAAAAGCGCAGCAGAAAAUGGAAGUGGAAAGUUUUUGCGAUGAAUAAUUUAGCUACCAUAAUUGUUUUUCUUUCGCAGAAAUGCAAUUUCUUACACACACAAGAAAAAAAAUAAUACUAUCCUUUUCCUGGAUUAAGGCAGAAAAUGAACUUAAAACCUCAAGCUACUUGAUUUCUGGAUGUGAUUUUUAAAUUUCCUUCUUAAUUAAUUCUUUCCUUCAAGGUGGGGCAAGAGACCAGGCACGCGGGAUUUCCUGUACAGAGUGUCCGAUAAAAAUGGCGAAAAGGGAUACGAGGACGAAUACGAGGAGGAAUCUAGAAAAUCAAGGGACGCCGAUACCUAUCUAGACUCAAUUCUGAGCACGAUUUUUGACUCGCAACUGUGCCUGCAACGCAUUGCAUGUCAGCUUGGAGUCAGGGACGCGGAUUCCAAAUAUAGGAAGUCUGUUUCGUGGGCGCUGAAGUAUCUGCAGACAUUCAAAAUGGCUGAAAGCAGCCCCGAAAUUCAAGCAAGACUGAAAUCGUACAGGAAUGCCUACAACCUGGGUGCUGAGCAAAAUUCUACCGAAUUUUGCUCUUCAGACGAACGGUUUCCAUGUGAAACGCCACAUAUCGUCCUCAGACAAGCAAAGAGAUCGAUCACCUUAAUUUAAUCAAUUCACUUUGGAAACUGGAACCUUGCGAAUAAAUUUUACUCAAAGCAGUUGAACGGAUAUUCGCACAGUUACUUAUCACAGGACUGCAGAUCGUGUUGGAGAUCUCUAUACCUACACUUUUAAAUUCAUAUUCACAUGACAUAGAUGAUAUGUGUCACAUGAACUUCUUAAAAUUUUCAAUUCAGUCUCCAUGCAAAUCUUAGGUGGAGUUUUUCUUACUAUUAUUUACACAAAAGUGAAUACACUAAAGAAAAAUUGACACAUUUUUUCUGAAUUCCCAAAAACAAUAAAAACAUUUUUCUAUUUCUCAAGCCUUUAAUAACCAUCCUAAAAUAAUAGAAUAAUUUCAAUGAAGAUGCUGAAAUAGAACCGUUUAAUUUCGACUGAAUAUAUUUCUUGUAAUUUCAAAAUACUUUUGAGACAGGAAACCUCAUUUAAGAGUUCAAAUAAUAUUGAGCACUAGUACACAAUGUGUGGUGGUUGCUGCUCUAAAUUAUGGAAAUAUACCGCAUAAACACUAUAUUUUGCUGUGAGCUUCCUAUUAACAUCCUCUAAAAUAACCGUGAAACUGUUUUUCUUUGUCAUGUGUGAUUACAUCAUGGAUUUUAUGAAAAAUAGUUUGGUAUUAUGGGCUCACGCAUAUCCUGAUGAAUCAGUGUUGCUUAACUAUAGUAGCUACAACCGAACAAAAUAACGCUCUGUUUCCAUACAUGAGUAUAGAAAAGGACGCCAGUUUAGCAGUCAAUUGGUAAUGCACCGCAACGCAACUUUAUCACUUUGUAAAUAUCUUUGUAUCAUUAAUUUAUUUGUACAUAAGUUGAAUAAUUAAGUCUGUAACUUAUCAUGUGCCAUUAUUCAAACAAAUAAAUGCAAAACCAGACUUAA
Molecule: long non-coding RNA, 1824 nt
Filed under: Bemisia tabaci
Lineage: Eukaryota; Metazoa; Arthropoda; Insecta; Hemiptera; Aleyrodidae
Description: lncRNA ENSSSA3NGG002354
Source: RNAcentral